RNAcentral lists this ribosomal RNA (510 nucleotides) under uncultured bacterium. Its description in RNAcentral is "partial 16S ribosomal RNA". It matches the Rfam family "Bacterial small subunit ribosomal RNA", at positions 28 to 507 of the family's 1533-position model. The record is from RNAcentral.
GACGAACGCUGGCGGCGUGCUUAACACAUGCAAGUCGAACGAAGAGCGACGGAAGCUUGCUUCUAUCAAUCUUAGUGGCGCACGGGUGAGUAACGCGUAAUCAACCUGCCCUUCAGAGGGGGACAACAGUUGGAAACGACUGCUAAUACCGCAUACGAUCUAACCUCGGCAUCGAGGAUAGAUGAAAGGUGGCCUCUACAUGUAAGCUAUCACUGAAGGAGGGGAUUGCGUCUGAUUAGCUAGUUGGAGGGGUAACGGCCCACCAAGGCGAUGAUCAGUAGCCGGUCUGAGAGGAUGAACGGCCACAUUGGGACUGAGACACGGCCCAGACUCCUACGGGGGGCAGCAGUGGGGAAUCUUCCGCAAUGGACGAAAGUCUGACGGAGCAACGCCGCGUGAGUGAUGACGGCCUUCGGGUUGUAAAGCUCUGUUAAUCGGGACGAAAGGCCUUCUUGCGAAUAGUGAGAAGGAUUGACGGUACCGGAAUAGAAAGCCACGGCUAACUACGUG